This 441-nucleotide ribosomal RNA is filed under the name uncultured bacterium. RNAcentral's name for it is "partial 16S ribosomal RNA". It matches the Rfam family "Bacterial small subunit ribosomal RNA", at positions 338 to 795 of the family's 1533-position model. The record is from RNAcentral.
CCUACGGGCGGCAGCAGUGGGGAAUAUUGCACAAUGGGCGGAACCCUGAUGCAGCGACGCCGCGUGGGUGAAGGAGUAUUUCGGUUUGUAAAGCCCUAUUAGCAGGGAAGAACAAUGACGGUACUUGACUAUGAAGCACCGGCUAUAUACGUGCCAGCAGCCGCGGCAAUAUGUAUGGUGCAAGCGUUAUCCGGAUUUACUUGGUGUAAAUGGAGCGCAGGCGGCGCGUUAAGCCUGGUGUGAAAGCCCGGGGCCCAACCGAGGGAGUGCAUUUGAAACUGGCACGCUAGAGUGCAGGAGGGGUAGGCGGAAUUCCUAGUGUAGCGGUGAAAUGCGUAGAUAUUAGGAGGAACACCAGUGGCGAAGGCGGCUUACUGGACGGUAACUGACGCUGAGGCUCGAAAGCGUGGGGAGCAAACAGGAUUAGAUACCCGAGUAGUC